This 468-nucleotide ribosomal RNA is filed under the name uncultured bacterium. RNAcentral's name for it is "partial 16S ribosomal RNA". It matches the Rfam family "Bacterial small subunit ribosomal RNA", at positions 28 to 507 of the family's 1533-position model. The record is from RNAcentral.
GACGAACGCUGGCGGCGUGCUUAACACAUGCAAGUCGAACGGAAAGGCCCUGCUUUUGUGGGGUGCUCGAGUGGCGAACGGGUGAGUAACACGUGAGUAACCUGCCCUUGACUUUGGGAUAACUUCAGGAAACUGGGGCUAAUACCGGAUAGGAGCUCCUGCUGCAUGGUGGGGGUUGGAAAGUUUCGGCGGUUGGGGAUGGACUCGCGGCUUAUCAGCUUGUUGGUGGGGUAGUGGCUUACCAAGGCUUUGACGGGUAGCCGGCCUGUGAGGGUGACCGGCGACAAUGGGACUGAGAUACGGCCCAGACUCCAACGGGAGGCAGCAGUGGGGAAUAUUGCACAAUGGGCGGAAGCCUGAUGAAGCAACGCCGCGUGCGGGAUGACGGCCUUCGGGUUGUAAACCGCUUUCGAAUGUGACAAAGAGUGAGUGACGGUAAUGGGUAAAGAAGCACCGGCUAACUACGUG